UCUCCAGGGCUGUGGCGGAUACUGUCGGAUGACGGUAGAAUUAUUCAAAGAUAAUGCUCUCUUAGGAAGAAGGGAUCCAGGACGCCUGAGUGGAAACCGCUGUGGAGAGCCAGCUCUUUUAUCUGGUUUUUUGUUGAUCGAAGUAUUUGUAAACGUAAAAAUUCCUUGUCUUGAGGAAAACUGUGGAGACUGUAAUGUAGAAUGCCCUCGUCUGAAAAUAGAUGGAGAGGUCCCCCUUAUUGUUGCUUGAACAGCACUUUUGAACUGAUACGAACUGUAAUCAGCACUGAAGCUUCUUUUGUGAAAUUUUAAUUUGGUGUCUGCAGACUCCUCAACUGGAAAUAUGUAUCGCUUUUGGUAGUUGGGAGUUUCUACCAUCAAAACCUGUUGAGAAAGUCCCCCAUGGUUGAUAUACUCUUGGCAUGUUUGUAGUCUCUGUUCCAGGCAAGAGAAUCGAAGCUCCAGAGCUGAAAAUUGGCUGAUCUUUUCUUCGGAAUAGCUAUUAACUUUG
This 511-nucleotide unclassified non-coding RNA is filed under the name Hevea brasiliensis (rubber tree). The record is from RNAcentral. Lineage: Eukaryota; Viridiplantae; Streptophyta; Magnoliopsida; Malpighiales; Euphorbiaceae.